Molecule: unclassified non-coding RNA, 473 nt
Filed under: Anelosimus eximius
Lineage: Eukaryota; Metazoa; Arthropoda; Arachnida; Araneae; Theridiidae
Description: partial contains tRNA-Leu and 16S ribosomal RNA
Rfam family: Bacterial large subunit ribosomal RNA (bases 57-354)
Source: RNAcentral
CUUUAUUAAUUUUUUAUAUAUAAUUUAUAUUAAAUAUAAAAAUAUAUUUUUUAAAUAAAAAGACGAUAAGACCCUAUUAAAUUUUACUUAUAGUUUAACUGGGGAAGUUUUAAAAAUAAAAUUUUUUAUAAAAAUAAAAAUAAAUCUAAUAAAAUUAAAAUUAAAUUAAAUUACUAUAGGGAUAACAGCAUUAUAUUUUUUAAAAGUUCAUAUUAAAAAAAAUGAUUGUGACCUCGAUGUUGAAUUAUAUUUUCUUUAUUAAUGCAAUAAUUAUAAAAGUAGAUCUGUUCGAUCUUUAAAAUAUUACAUGAUUUGAGUUCAAACCGGUGUAAACCAGGUUGGUUUCUAUCUUUUUAUAAAUUCAUAUAUAUAUAUAUAUAUAUAAAUUUUUCAAGUACGAAAGGAAAAAAAAAUUUUUAUUUUAAUUAAUUAGCAAUUAAUAUGCAUUAGAUUUAGAAUCUAAAUAAACUAUU